Antechinus flavipes (yellow-footed antechinus) is the source of this 300-nucleotide long non-coding RNA. RefSeq lists it as uncharacterized. The record is from RefSeq and is a predicted model, not a curated record. Lineage: Eukaryota; Metazoa; Chordata; Mammalia; Dasyuromorphia; Dasyuridae. The transcript is spliced from 2 exons.
GUUACACAAUAAGUGAUGAGUCGGAGUUCAACCCCACGUCUUCUGACAGUCUGGCCUUUCCACGGUACCAUCCAGUCCCUUCUCUUUGUUAAAUCAACUCUGCCAUUGCUCUGGUGUAGAGGUCAGUCUGCUCCAUUCUGCCCCCAUUUACUCCUCUGUAACCAAAGUGCACCACUGUGGCUCCUCCUCCACUAUGUUUUAUUUCAAUAUUCCCAUUGGAAUGUAAACCUAUUAAGGGAAGGGUUUCUUUUGUAUAUAUAUAGGCAUACAUGUGAUGUUUAAUAAAUGCUUUUUCAUUCA